UACGGAGGGUGCAAGCGUUGCUCGGAAUUAUUGGGCGUAAAGGGUAGGUAGGUGGUCUUAUUUGUCUGGGGUGAAAGCCUUGAGCUUAACUCAAGAAGUGCCUCAGAAACGGUAAGACUGGAGUCCUGGAGAGGGUCGUGGAAUUCCCGGUGUAGCGGUGAAAUGCGUAGAGAUCGGGAGGAAUACCGAUGGCGAAGGCAGGUCUCUGGGCUAUAACUGACGCUCAUGCACGAAAGCGUGGGGAGCAAACAGG
This 253-nucleotide ribosomal RNA is filed under the name uncultured bacterium. RNAcentral describes it as "partial 16S ribosomal RNA". It matches the Rfam family "Bacterial small subunit ribosomal RNA", at positions 524 to 776 of the family's 1533-position model. The record is from RNAcentral.